CAUGUUUACUAUCAACGUGAAUCUCGACUAUAGAGCGAAGCGAAAGGUUGCCAACUUCGUUUCAAGAAAUUGGGGCAAUGGUCGGGAAAAAAUGUUUUAAAAUCUAAUAAAAUGUCACUUACCGGUCUAAUCAACGAGUACUUGCUGUUCCCAUAUAAUUAUCCUUAUCGAAUAUCAAUAUCCAGACAUAAUAUAUAACUGUUUAAACACUUUUAAUUAAUUUUUUCGCUGGCGGUGUUGCGGUUUUUUUGUCCAUUCAACUUCGAUCAACGGAAGUUACAAAACAACGACAUCUGUGUGGUCUUCAGCUCAAGAAAGAUAACUCCACCUGAAAACGCGGGAAAUUAGAUGAGUUCCGAGAAACAAUAUACUGAACGAAAAGGUAAGAGAAUUUCGAAUUUCGCACAUGUAAACAAUCUAUAGUUAUACAGAAA
This 434-nucleotide long non-coding RNA is filed under the name Mytilus galloprovincialis (Mediterranean mussel). The record is from RNAcentral. Lineage: Eukaryota; Metazoa; Mollusca; Bivalvia; Mytilida; Mytilidae.